CCAAAUUAGGAAAGUCGUUAACCAAGAAGAAGGGAGUAGUGAGAUAGACAAAGAGAGAUAGGCCUUGCAUGGCGACGAGGGCUUCCUCUGGUAGCCAAGGAUGACUUGCCUGUGGAUGUAUAGCUUGAUAUCGAUUGCGCUUGCAUCCCUGCUUGUAUGUGAUCUGUCACUAUGUACAACAGGCAGUCUCCUUGGCUAGCCCGAGUGGCCCUCGUCCUUCAUGCCAGCCUCUCAUCUUUUCUCAAACCGUAACCCAUUCCUAGCUCGUUGUGCUUGACGCCAACCACUUCAGUUCAACUGGGCAGAAAAAGCCGUUCGACCAAGAGAGGCAGAAGACCACAUGCGCGCACCCUGUGGAUGAGACGAAUCGUCGUCGGUACAUCGCUCCCUGCGCCUACACGUAGUGGAGUAGUACAGAGAGGACGAACAAAUUGCUCUGUUUGGAUCCGUAAUUCUGGUCAGUGAGCGAUGCCAUACUUAUGUUCACCAGAUGAUUCAUUUUGUUGAUGCAGAGGUUAGAUCUAAUUCGUAUCUUUACAAUAUUAAUAUAUUUUCUUUAUCGAAAAAAUAUGCUUAAAA
Hordeum vulgare subsp. vulgare (domesticated barley) is the source of this 579-nucleotide long non-coding RNA. RefSeq lists it as uncharacterized. NCBI's taxonomy places the organism in Eukaryota, Viridiplantae, Streptophyta, Magnoliopsida, Poales, Poaceae. The transcript is spliced from 2 exons. The record is from RefSeq and is a predicted model, not a curated record.